UAGGGAAUCUUCGGCAAUGGGGGGAACCCUGACCGAGCAACGCCGCGUGAGUGAAGAAGGUUUUCGGAUCGUAAAGCUCUGUUGUUAAGGAAGAACGAGUGUGAGAAUGGAAAGUUCAUACUGUGACGGUACUUAACCAGAAAGUGACGGCUAACUACGUGUCAGCAGCCGCGGUAAUACGUAGGUCCCGAGCGUCGUCCGUAUUUAUUGGGCGUAAAGCGAGCGCAGGCGGUUAGAUAAGUCUGAAGUUAAAGGCAGUGGCUCAACCAUUGUAGGCUUUGGAAACUGUUUAACUUGAGUGCAGAAGGGGAGAGUGGAAUUCCAUGUGUAGCGGUGAAAUGCGUAGAUAUAUGGAGGAACACCGGUGGCGAAAGCGGCUCUCUGGUCUGUAACUGACGCUGAGGCUCGAAAGCGUGGGUAGCAAACAGG
Molecule: ribosomal RNA, 429 nt
Filed under: Bacteroidota bacterium
Lineage: Bacteria; Pseudomonadati; Bacteroidota
Description: Bacteroidetes bacterium partial 16S ribosomal RNA
Rfam family: Bacterial small subunit ribosomal RNA
Source: RNAcentral